Gasterosteus aculeatus aculeatus (three-spined stickleback) is the source of this 2793-nucleotide long non-coding RNA. The record is from Ensembl. NCBI's taxonomy places the organism in Eukaryota, Metazoa, Chordata, Actinopteri, Perciformes, Gasterosteidae.
ACAAAUUAUCCAAAUGUUGACCCAUAAAGCUGGAAGAAAAGCAGUACUUGACAGUUAUGCUCCGAUGACAAGAAUAUAUUAACUGGAAACCUGUGGCCCAAACAUGUGUAAAACAAAUAGAAGCAUUAUUUGUUGAUGAGUUACAACUUCUACACAUUUCGCAGUUACAGGAAAUCUUUCACAUGCAGGAGAUAUCCGGCUGCAGCCGUGAUUAGUUUGGAAUCAAACUACAUUCUCAGGUCGGACUGCCAUUUAAUGGCGGACGGAUCAAACUACUGAAGCGAUGUGACAUUACCGGCCAUGAGGACUGAUUACGAGGCGAUCUCCUGCAGUGCAAAGAAAACAUUACCGCAAAGAAAGGCGCGUGAAAACACAAUAAUACAUUGUGCCGCGAUCUCCUGCAGAACUACAUUGCACGUUUGUGUUUGAUCGUUUGCCUCCCAGCCAGCCUGAUUAUGAGCAGGCGUGCUUGUACGCAUAUGCUUCUAUAUUUGCAUGUUUACAUCUUUGUGUGUGUGUGCGCUUUAAAACCUGUAACGGCGUCCCUUCGUGUUAUCCUGUGUAACACAGUCUUGGUCUUCAUUAUCAUUUCUCCCAGGGCCUUUUCUGGUGUUCAGAGCCCCACCAGAGGGGCCUUUGGCUCGGUGGGAGAGGUGUCGGAGGCGGCCUGGCCCCGCUGUGCUCCUUCCUUCCCCCCUCCGCAGGGCGCCAGGCACAGCGUGUACCCGUGGCAAGCCAAGCCUGACGAUGAGGCUGCCUGCACAGCCAACGCCGUGUUUGAACUGGGCAGGGGGUUGCCACGUCGUGCCGAACACACACGUGCAGGAAGGCACACGCACUUCGGCGCGGCCGACUCCCGGUGAGCUCGACACAUGUUUGGAAGAUGCCACGGAGGAGGUGGGCAGCAGGGCAACGAGGCUCUUAGCACCAGUGUCUUUGGGAAUUCCGCCGUGUUCCCUGGAGGAGAUGGAGGAGAUAGGCCUGGCGCCUCCGAAGGCAUCCCCCGCCCUCUCUCUCUCUUUCUUCCUCACCCACUCUGCUUAUCUUAGGGAAACCACAAUGGGGUUUUGCACACCGGAGCAAGACGAGGGGGGCUUCAGAUGGCAGCCGAGUGUGGCCCUGCACGAGGACAGAGGGCGAGAGAAUCACUCCUCUUCUGUUCCACAUCCCCGAUAACGUGCAACACAACACACAUCUGCAGUAAUGAAGCGCAGCUCCGCGGUCACGCUGCAUGGAUGACACACACUGCUUCAACGCAAACACGAGUGAUUCUACUUAUAGUUUGGUCUCGAGCAGUUUGAAAAGAAGUUUUUACUUCUCGAGCAGUUAAGGGGGUCUGACAGUGUUCAGCUAGACUUUGAAAUGCUUCCAAAUUUGUGCCCACUAUGUCUGGUUCCGGGAUAUGGGCCUCACUGGUUUCCAGUGGCAUGCCAUUAUUUCAGAUAAAUGGCUGUUGUUGUGGUUAGCCGGAUGGUACAAAGGGACAGGAUCGGCCAUACGAGGGACAAACCAGGUGCCGGCUAAGCAAUGAGCAAUUAGAUUUGGCUUAGUAAAGAUCUGUCCACUAAUCACCUUCCUUACAAAUGGCCUGGUCGCUGAUGCUUGGAGGACCACAGAAGAGCAAAGCGGUGAUGACACAUGCGGCAUGACGACGGGCUGCAGUCGGCAACAGGGGUGAAGGCUGUAAAAUGUCUGCAAAAAAGGUUCUUGGGCAAAACUGCGCAACCUCAGCCUGCAAAAGAAAUAUGCCCAGCAUGCUUUCUAUAGGACUAUAAAAAACGUAUGUGUCUUUUGGGUUACAGGUUUUGUGUCGCAAGGGGCAAACUUUAACAACCUACAGAACACCACAAGCUAAUCCCACUGAGCUCCCCAUAAAACGGAUCUGCUGCAAAGCCCCACAACCUUACCGAUUGCAGAAGCCAAAGGUUGUGCCCUUUCAUGUAUUUCCUCAGAGCCGGUAAAUUGGAGAGCCUGUCGUUGUAAUAGGAAAAAGCCUCGAAGAUACUUGAGUCCCCCUGACGAAGAGAAUAGCAAUUAUUCUGGAAAAUCAAUUUCUGACCCAAUUUUUCUUCCUUAUCGACCAAGAGGCUCUUCGCAGGCAGAGAAGGUGACACGGAAAUGUAUCUCCUAGAUUCUAUUAGCGGAUCUCUAUUUGCUACUUGCAUCUCUGUUUUUGUCGAGACUUUGACCAGCCAUAAACACAUCCAGGAAAGUCACUCUAUAUGAAAAUUGAUUUUUUCUUUUUCUACUUUCCAGAAGCUCAUUUAUUUUCAUUGAUUAUAUGCUUGUACUUUCCAUUACACGUUCCGUUUGUUGAAGUGUUGGCAUGAAUGAACGGGCACUUUCAUUGCUACCGCCAUCUACUGAAAUAAAUGCACGUAUUCAAUACAAACUGUUCUCUGCUCCACCCUUCUCCCGAGUAGUUUGUGUUAAAUAAAACUAUAGCGGCUGCACUGUAGGCGCUGUUACUUUUAGGCUGUUACCUUUUCAUGAUAAUUCCCACAGUCUUAUCAGUGUUUAUUUUCCCAGUGUGAAAAGCCUAUUGCUCCCGCAUUCUUCAUGCAUGUCAUUCUUUGACCAAGAUUUAUUGUUGUUCAUCCCAUCAAUACGUCAAGCUAUGACGUAAACGGGCUGCCGAGUACGGCAGUGAUCAUUUUGACCGGCUUCCUAUCACUUAGCUUAGUCGUAUCUUAGACUCUUUCGUCUCUGGCCAUCCGUCUUCUGGUGUUUUCUUGACCCACUGCAGUGUACCCCUACACUAUUUGUGCAAGUGUGCAAAUUAAACAAUGUACG